This 492-nucleotide ribosomal RNA is filed under the name uncultured bacterium. Its description in RNAcentral is "partial 16S ribosomal RNA". It matches the Rfam family "Bacterial small subunit ribosomal RNA", at positions 29 to 507 of the family's 1533-position model. The record is from RNAcentral.
AGCGAACGCUGGCGGUAGGCCUAACACAUGCAAGUCGAACGGCAGCACAGUAAGAGCUUGCUCUUACGGGUGGCGAGUGGCGGACGGGUGAGGUAGACAUCGGAAUCUACUUUUUCGUGGGGGAUAACGUAGGGAAAGCUACGCUAAUACCGCAUACGACCUACGGGUGAAAGCAGGGGAUCUUCGGACCUGUUGCGGAUGAAUGAGCCGAUGUCGGAGUAGCUAGUUGGCUGGGUAAAGGCCCACUCAGGCGACGAUCCGUAGCUGGUAUGAGAGGAUGAUCAGCCACCCUGGAGGUGAGACAGGGUCCAUACUCCUGCGGGAGGCAGCAGAGGGGAAUCUUAGACAAUGGUGGCGAGCCUGAUCCAGCCAAACCGCGUGUGUGAAGACGGCCUUCGGCUUGUAAAGCCCUUUUGUUGGGAGAAAAAAGCAGUAGGUUAAUACCCCGCUGUUCUGACGGUACCCAGAGAAUAAGCACCGGCUAACUUCGUG